UAAUUCGUACUGACUUAUAGAAGCUCAAUGAAGAAGGUGACUAGAUCCAUCAUGAGUCCGAGACCUACAAAAGAAUAUUCGAUUAAUGCCAUUCUCAGUGACGAGUCCUAGGAAGAUCGAUCUCAAGUUAGUUAAGUCCCACGAAAAGACAUGUAUGGAGAAUGGAAUGCAUGAUUUUAAAUCUUACUUUGAGACGUGGAUCUUUAUAUAAAAGUGGGCAUUAACCUGGGCCAAGGCAUCGCAUUCACGUGGUUCAUCUAACGAAAAUACAUUGUCAAUCUAAUCGUACUUGUACAAAGUCAAUAGAUUAAUAAAGACAUUUCUCGUAAAUUACCAAGUAAUGUAGUUAAAAGUAGUCAACUUAUACAAGAAAUGAAACAUUUGUAUUUGGAAGUGAAAAAAAUCGUACAUACUUAUGUGAUGAUCAAGGCCGAAGAAAAACAUGACUCCAUAUCCCCGGUGACUCCUAAACCUAAGAAUGAGAACCUGUCACUAUCUCGGCUAGUGGCCAACCGAGAUAUCGAUAGCCCUCGAGAAGACAAAUAUAAAAAAUUUAAGGCAUUUUUUCGUACCUCAAUAUUUGCAGGUGUAGGGAUAUGUAUUCAAGAGUACUUUGGCCUAGACAUCCGUAUUAGCACAGUUCAUCAUUCAAUCGAGUUCGAUAGUCAAUAGAAUUAGUCCUCGCAAAACCAAACAAUUGCAAAAUAAUCAAUGCUCAUUUAACAAAAAUUUAAAUAAGCUUGAAUGCACGAUUUUUAAAAAUUACUUUUAGACGUGAACUUUUAUAGAAGAGGGGACCAUUACUUAAGACCUAGCCAUCCCAUUCACGUGGUCCAUCGAAUGAAAUUUCAUGGUUAAUCUAAUAGUAACUCUACAAAACCAAUGGUUCAAUAAAGGGAUAUUUUUCGUACGAAAUUAACAAGUAACGUAGUUAAUAGUAGUCAACUUUUACAACAAAUGUAGCAUUUAUAUUUGGAGGGAAAGAAAAUCGUACCUACUUAUGUUAUGAUCAAGGUCGAACGACAACAUGACUAAAUCUCCCUUGUGAGUCCUAAAC
This 1057-nucleotide long non-coding RNA is filed under the name Actinidia chinensis (golden kiwifruit). Its description in RNAcentral is "long non-coding RNA (ACHI_LNC008825)". The record is from RNAcentral. Lineage: Eukaryota; Viridiplantae; Streptophyta; Magnoliopsida; Ericales; Actinidiaceae.